AGGACUCUGGGCUCGGCUUCUCCUCCUCCACCCGCCCUUUUGUCUGAGGGACCCGGGAUUUUGCUUUUCCCUUAUAGAAAUGGUGGAGUCAGUGAAGAAAUUAGCAGGGAUGGAUGUGGAGCUGACAGCUGAAGAAAGAAACCUCCUAUCUGUUACAUAUAAGAAUGUGAUUGGAGCUAGAAGAGCCUCCUGGAGAAUAAUCAGCAGCCUUGAACAGAAAGAAGGAACAAGGGAGGAGAAGACAAGCUAAAAAUGAUUCGGAAAUACCGGCAAAUGGUCAUGGAGAAUAUCUCUGAUUUUCCCUGCAGCUGUGUCAGAAGUCACCAGCUUUGGAGAAGCCAUGGAAAGAUCCACCCCAGAAGAAAAAGCCUAUUGAUAAACCAUUUAAAACUGAAUAAAUGGAAGUCCGCUAUGCAGUCUAUCAACUAUUAUAUUCAAGUUUUUCUAUU
RNAcentral lists this long non-coding RNA (449 nucleotides) under Pan troglodytes (chimpanzee). RNAcentral's name for it is "long non-coding RNA NONPTRT006763". The record is from RNAcentral. Lineage: Eukaryota; Metazoa; Chordata; Mammalia; Primates; Hominidae.